UUUUGGACAAUGGGCGCAAGCCUGAUCCAGCAAUGCCGCGUGCAGGAAGAAGGCCUUCGGGUUGUAAACUGCUUUUGUCAGGGAAGAAAUAUUGUUGGUUAAUACCUCGGGAGGAUGACGGUACCUGAAGAAUAAGCACCGGCUAACUACGUGCCAGCAGCCGCGGUAAUACGUAGGGUGCGAGCGUUAAUCGGAAUUACUGGGCGUAAAGCGUGCGCAGGCGGCUUUGCAAGACAGAUGUGAAAUCCCCGGGCUCAACCUGGGAACUGCAUUUGUGACUGCAAGGCUAGAGUACGGCAGAGGGGGAUGGAAUUCCGCGUGUAGCAGUGAAAUGCGUAGAUAUGCGGAGGAACCACCCGAUGGCGAAGGCAAUCCCCUGGGACCUGUACUGACGCUCAUGCACGAAA
RNAcentral lists this ribosomal RNA (407 nucleotides) under uncultured bacterium. RNAcentral describes it as "bacterial SSU rRNA". It matches the Rfam family "Bacterial small subunit ribosomal RNA", at positions 362 to 758 of the family's 1533-position model. The record is from RNAcentral.